CCUACGGGAGGCAGCAGUGAGGAAUAUUGGUCAAUGGGCGGAAGGCUGAACCAGCCAAGCCGCGUGAAGGACGAAGGUGCCAAGCAUUGUAAACUUCUUUUGUCAAGGGACAAAAUCAGGCUCGAGAGCCUGACCGAGGGUACUUGAAGAAAAAGCAUCGGCUACCUCCGUGCCAGCAGCCGCUGUAAUAGGGAGGAUGCUAGCGUUAUCCGGAUUUAUUGGGUUGAAAGGGUGCGUAGGCGGACUGUUCAUUCAGCGGUAAAUGCCCGGGGCUCAACCCCGGCGAGCGGGUGAAACUGGCUGUCUUGAGAUGGCGAGAGGUAUGCGGAAUGCGCAGGGUAGCGGUGAAAUGCUUAGAUAUUGCGCAGAACUCCGAUUGCGAAGGCAGCAUACCGGCGGCGAUCUGACGCUGAGGCACGAAAGCGUGGGUAUCGAACAGGAUUAGAUACACUGGUAGUC
RNAcentral lists this ribosomal RNA (459 nucleotides) under uncultured bacterium. RNAcentral describes it as "partial 16S ribosomal RNA". It matches the Rfam family "Bacterial small subunit ribosomal RNA", at positions 338 to 795 of the family's 1533-position model. The record is from RNAcentral.